This 466-nucleotide ribosomal RNA is filed under the name uncultured bacterium. RNAcentral describes it as "partial 16S ribosomal RNA". It matches the Rfam family "Bacterial small subunit ribosomal RNA", at positions 28 to 507 of the family's 1533-position model. The record is from RNAcentral.
GAUGAACGCUGGCGGCGUGCUUAACACAUGCAAGUCGAACGGAAAGGCUCCUGCUUGCAGGGGUACUCGAGUGGCGAACGGGUGAGUAACACGUGGGUGAUCUGCCCUGCACUUCGGGAUAAGCUUGGGAAACUGGGUCUAAUACCGGAUAGGACCGCAUUUUGGAUGGUGUGGUGGAAAGUUUUUUCGGUGUGGGAUAAGCUCGCGGCCUAUCAGCUUGUUGGUGGGGUAAUGGCCUACCAAGGCGUCGACGGGUAGCCGGCCUGAGAGGGUGUACGGCCACAUUGGGACUGAGAUACGGCCCAGACUCCUACGGGAGGCAGCAGUGGGGAAUAUUGCACAAUGGGCGCAAGCCUGAUGCAGCGACGCCGCGUGGGGGAUGACGGCCUUCGGGUUGUAAACUCCUUUCGCUAGGGACGAAGAGUAAUUGACGGUACCUGGAGAAGAAGCACCGGCUAACUACGUG